RNAcentral lists this transfer RNA (84 nucleotides) under Planctomycetota bacterium. RNAcentral's name for it is "Planctomycetes bacterium tRNA-Leu". It matches the Rfam family "tRNA". From Rfam's summary of the family: Transfer RNA (tRNA) molecules are approximately 80 nucleotides in length. Their secondary structure includes four short double-helical elements and three loops (D, anti-codon, and T loops). The record is from RNAcentral. Lineage: Bacteria; Pseudomonadati; Planctomycetota.
GCUCUGGUGGCGAAAUUGGCAGACGCGCUAGCUUGAGGUGCUAGAGGUGUAAAAACCGUGGAGGUUCAAGUCCUCUCCAGGGCA